Molecule: non-coding RNA, 465 nt
Organism: Corylus avellana
Lineage: Eukaryota; Viridiplantae; Streptophyta; Magnoliopsida; Fagales; Betulaceae
Source: RefSeq, a predicted model, not a curated record
UCCUUCUCUUUCUUUUCCUCUUAAUCUAGUUUAACGCACCCGAGCCCGGUUUAAGUUUUGGACUUUGGAGAAUCCGACGCAGACCAAAAGUUUCGCAGAAAAAUGAGACCCAACGUUUUCACAGAGAUUCACAAGGUUAGCCGGUUCAUCGAGACAAUCGUUGCAACAGCAUGUCAUUAUAGAAAGUUAUUGGCAAACAACAGUGUCAGAAGAGACUCCAUACUUCAGUCAGAACGUUCUUCCAUGGUUAAAUUUGUAAGAUGGUCACCUCCAACAAUGAAGCAAAAAUUUAAAAUUAACACACAUGCAAGUCUUUCAGAACAAUAUGUUUUCUUGGGAUAUGUUCUCUUUGACCAUCGUGGCAUACAUCUUUUACGGCGUGCAAAAGCUAUAAAAAUUGAAAAUGAAAAACCCAAUAUAGUGGAGGCUGAGGCAAGAGUAUUAGAAUUAGCUUUAUUUGACUUA